AUGAAUCUCCUAUGCACGGCUUCUUUGGGAACAAACCCUGGAUGUCAUGAGAAGAUAUCGCUGUGUCAUCCGCUUCAUUCAUUCACACCUAGCACCGGGAUUCUUCCUUUCCUCCAAAGGGGACCUGCUGGAUCAGGACAUUUACCUGAGAAGCUGCCAUUUCCUCCUCUUCUUCCUCCUGCCCUGGGUCGUUUUCUCAUCAAGGUUAUGGAGGAAUCACCUCAGCGUCAUGAGAUUACACCUUCAGAGGUGCCAGCACUGACUUGCCCCUUUAAAGCCCAUGCAGAGCAGAACUUGUUGCCUCUGCUUGGACUGAAGCCAGGCCUCAGCUCUCACAAAUGGACCAGGAGCCUCGUCCUUAAUCGGGGCCUCCCUGUAGAAUCCCCUGGAGCACUUCCUACACACCACACUGAGGCUCCCACAGGACCAACACAGAACUCUGUGGGGUGGGCACUGGGGAGGUCACUGCCUGACACUGGUCACAUGAUCCUGAUGAGAAACAGAUGGAAACCACUUGGCUAAAGAUUGUUUUGGCUUCCCUGAUGGCUCAGCUGGUAAAGAAUCUGCCUGCAAUGUGGGAGACCUGGUUCGAUCCCUGGCUUGGGAAGAUUCCCUGGAGAAGGGAAUGGCUGCCCACUCCAGUAUUCUGGCCUGGAGAAUUCCAUGGACUGUAUAGUCCCUGGGGUCGCAAAGAGUUGAACACAAGUGAGCAACUUUCACUUCACUUUAAAGAUUGUUUCUGGACCAUUUCAGUAUAUACAAUCCCAUGAGGUCAGAGCCCCACUUGAAGAGGUUAUGAAUCUGCAGGUCUGAGGUGGAGCCAUGAAAUGAGUCUUCAACAAGCUCCCUGUUUGUUCUGAUGCCUCUUCCCAAAGACCCACACUCAGGAGCCCUGAGCUUCAGCUGUCACACUCAGCACAGCUGAGACCUCUCAGGAGGGGAGGGUUUAGGGCAGGAAUUUCCCUGGAACAAGUUAUCAGCUCACACCCCUCAGAAUGGCCAUCUUUGAAAAGACUUUUGGACUUCAUCUCCAAAACAUGUAAACUGCUCAUGCAGCUCAAAAAAACAAAAAACAAAAAAACCAACAAAAGACCCAAUAGAAAAACAGGCCAAAGAUCUAAAUACACACAGCUCCAAAGAAGGCAUACAAAAGGCCACUAAGCACAUUAAAAGAUACUCAGCAUCAAUAAUUAUUAGAGAAAUGAAAUAAAAACUACAACGAGGUAUUAUCUGACACCCCACAGAAUGGCCAUCUUUCAAAAGAGCCUCAAAAAUUAAACGCUACCGAGGGCAUGGGGAAUAGGAAAUCCUCCAACACUAUGGGCGGGGAUGGAAAUGGGUGGGUACAGCCACAAAGGAAAACAGUAUAGACGUUCCUUAAAACACUAAAUAUGGAGUUUCCACAUAAUUUUUAACUCCUUGCCUUAAAUUCUGAGAAAAUCAUCAUUUAAAGUGAUAUAUACACCUCUUUUUUCAGGGCAGCGCUAUUGACAAUAUCCAAGACAGAGCAUCAACCAACUGUCCAUCGAUAGAGAAAUGAAAGUCCACCUAGACACUGGAAUACACACAGCCAGCAAAACGAACAUAAAAAAAAUGCCAUUGUCAGCAGCAUGGAUGGCCUACUCAGUGAAGUCAGUCAGAGAGGGAAAGAGAAAUAUCAUUUCACUUACAGGUGGGACCAUGCUGCUGCUGCUGCUAAGUCGCUUCAGUCGUGUCCGACUCUGUGCGACCCCAGAGAUGGCAGCCCACCAGGCUCCCCUGUCCCUGGGAUUCUCCAGGCAAGAACACUGGAGUGGGUUGCCAUUUCCUUCUCCAAUGCAUGAAAGUGAAAAGUGAAAGUGAAGUCGCUCAGUCAUGUCCGACUCUUAGCGACCCCAUGGACCGCAGCCUGCCAGACUCCUCCAUCCAUGGGAUUUUUCAGGCAAGUGUACUGGAGUGGGGUGCCAUUGUUUUCUCCGACCAUAAACUAAUUCAAAUGAAUUAAUUUAUAAACAGACUCACAGAUUAGAAAACCAAUUAAUGAUUGUUAAAAAAAAAAAAGGGUAGGGAAGGAGACAUUAAGAGUUUGGGAUUAACAUAUACACACUACUUA
This 2092-nucleotide long non-coding RNA is filed under the name Bos grunniens (domestic yak). RNAcentral's name for it is "lncRNA (ENSBGRG00000014691.1)". The record is from RNAcentral. Lineage: Eukaryota; Metazoa; Chordata; Mammalia; Artiodactyla; Bovidae.